Molecule: ribosomal RNA, 516 nt
Filed under: uncultured Glomus
Lineage: Eukaryota; Fungi; Glomeromycota; Glomeromycetes; Glomerales; Glomeraceae
Description: SSU rRNA
Rfam family: Eukaryotic small subunit ribosomal RNA
Source: RNAcentral
AGCAGCCGCGGUAAUUCCAGCUCCAAUAGUGUAUAUUAAAGUUGUUGCAGUUAAAAAGCUCGUAGUUGAAUUUCGGGGUCAGUAGAUUGGUCGUGCCACUGGUAUGCACUGGUCUUACUGGCUCCUCCUUCCUGAUGAACCGUAAUGCCAUUAAUUUGGUGUUGCGGGGAAACAGGACUGUUACUUUGAAAAAAUUAGAGUGUUUAAAGCAAGCUAACGCUUGAAUACAUUAGCAUGGAAUAAUGAAAUAGGACGAUCGAUCCUAUUUUGUUGGUUUCUAGGAUUUGACGUAAUGAUUAAUAGGGAUAGGUUGGGGGCAUUAGUAUUCAAUUGUCAGAGGUGAAAUUCUUGGAUUUAUUGAAGACUAACUACUGCGGAAGCAUUUGCCAAGGAUGUUUUCAUUAAUCAAGAACGAAAGUUAGGGGAUCGAAGACGAUCAGAUACCGUCGUAGUCUUAACCAUAAACUAUGCCGACUAGGGAUCGGAUGAUGUUAAUUUUAUAAUGACUCAUUCACG